UGUCACAGAAGAUGGAUCAGCGGGCAGAUGGCCGUACCAUGGCUGGCCUGAGAACAACAUUUGAGGAAGCAAGUAAGCUUGAGGUUGAUUCAACUCCCAUCACGAUUCCUAUAAUUAAGAAAGCCCGCCAUUAUGAUGAGAUCCCCACAAUGUCUACCGCCGAAGUGGUAAGAAAUGAAGCCAGUAGUAUUGAAGCACCGGUUCCAUCUAGUGGUAAGAUAAAGAGGAGGA
This 231-nucleotide long non-coding RNA is filed under the name Linum usitatissimum (flax). RNAcentral describes it as "long non-coding RNA (LUSI_LNC000371)". The record is from RNAcentral. Lineage: Eukaryota; Viridiplantae; Streptophyta; Magnoliopsida; Malpighiales; Linaceae.